Molecule: ribosomal RNA, 840 nt
Filed under: Candidula unifasciata
Lineage: Eukaryota; Metazoa; Mollusca; Gastropoda; Stylommatophora; Geomitridae
Description: partial large subunit ribosomal RNA
Rfam family: Archaeal large subunit ribosomal RNA (bases 364-521)
Source: RNAcentral
GAUAAUACAUAUUAAUUUACGAAGGACCUUGAGCUAACUAAUAAAAUAUACUAGUAUUAGAAUUAUAUGUUGCAAUAUAUAAACAAUAUUAUUGGUUAGGGGUGAUAGGCUUAUCAAAAUAUCCGAUAUCUUAAUGUUUAGGAAAAAUAUUAAGUAUUAAAGCAAUUUUGAAGUGGUGAGAUUUCAAAAGUUUACUAAUAUAAUUAAUUACAACAUAAAAUACCUAACGGUAAUUAUUUUAACUAAUAGUUUAUUUAACAUUAAAAUUUGUAUUAUAUACUAAACUGUGCUUUAAAUAGUGUGAGUUAUUAUUACUGUUAAUAUUAGUAUUAUAAUAAUACCAUUGAAGGAACUCGGCAAACUAUUACUCGACUGUUUAUCAAAAACAUAGCUAGGUGUAUAUAUACUUAGUUAUUUCUGCUCACUGGUAAGCUAAAUAGCCGCAGUACUCUGACUGUGCAAAGGUAGCAUAAUCAUUUGGCUUAUAAUUGAAGUCUGGCAUGAAAGAAACUACGGGUAAUUACUGUCUCCCUUGGUCACCUUGAACUUCCUUAAAGGGUGAAAAUGCCCUUUGAUAAAUAAUAGACGAGAAGACCCUAGAAAUUUUUUAUACCAUAAGAUAAUCUUAUUUCUAUUUUGUUGGGGCGACAGAAUAACAUUUAACUUGUUUUAUUUAAUAUGAACUAUAUAUUGAGCAAAAAUAAAUUACUCUAGGGAUAACAGCAUAAUUUGAUAAAGUUUGUGACCUCGAUGUUGGACUAGGGAUUUCAUUAACCAGCAGUUAAUGAAACAGGCUCUGUUCGAGCAAUUAUUCCCUACAUGAUCUGAGUUCAGACCGGC